RNAcentral lists this long non-coding RNA (541 nucleotides) under Nicotiana benthamiana. RNAcentral's name for it is "long non-coding RNA (NBEN_LNC027365)". Lineage: Eukaryota; Viridiplantae; Streptophyta; Magnoliopsida; Solanales; Solanaceae. The record is from RNAcentral.
GCAAAGGUACGUCUUCCCCUGCAUCAAAGGUAAGCUUCUUUUCCUUUAACAUAACUGCGUUCUUGUUUUUGUGAUUACUUGAAAUUUGCAAAUGGCGGUUCUCAAUUUUGCUUUAAUUUCCCUUAAAGUUGAGUUCUUCAAACGUCAAUUCCGAGUUGGAAGAGUUAUUGAUUCUUAGCUAAACGUGCACGUUUCUAUCUUUUGAGACUCUAGCCACUUUGGAUCCUUCAUCAUGUAAUGUGUGGUCUCCGACCGAAAUCUCCAACAGCAACAUCCAGCAGAACUGAUAGUAUGCCCCAUCUAACCCUAGCUCUAUUUUUGUUCUUCCUGUUUUCUUCCUUAUUAACACCUUUCGAUGAGUAUUGAGCAGAUACUUGCAUUUUUAUUUGGAGUAGCUGACUUGCAUAAGUCAACAUAAAACGAGUCUAUAUUUAUUAAACAUAUGUUUUUGUCCUAUUUUCCUCUCUGUAAUGGCUUGUGAUAUAGAAGACAAAUUCACUACAAGUAUGAUUGAAGCAUAAAUCGAGAAACAAUGUCUGAG